UCUUAGUAAAUCACAUGGUUACAAAUUCAAUUCUACUGCUUGGUAUCUUAAGUCUUCUAUAACAUCAGAAUGUCUAAUGCCAAGUAGUGACGUAGCUAUUGGGGGACAGACAGCUCCCUGGCGCCUUUUCAAUUCGAGUUACCUAUAUCAGUAAUUGUUUCAUACAUCUUGAUUGUAACAAGAUAUAACAGAAUUAUGUCCCUUCAAUUGCAUAUAGAAGUAGUUCAGAUCUAAGAUAUAGAUUAAAAGAUCUGCUUGUUUUAAUUAUUAUUGAAAACAGUAUGACAAUGACGUGUUUUACUGAAACGUGAAAUUAAUUAAUGUAGAAUACAAUUACGUAUAUUAUAACUAAUGAAACAUCGCUUAAUGUUAAGAGAAAUAAGUUAAUCGUUUGGUAUGUCACGGCGCCCUUUUUUCUCGCUUUUUUUGCUCGCUUCUCCUAACUUUAGGACCUGACAACACCUUUGAAGCCAUGUGUAUCUGCGUUGUAUUAACACUACUUAUCAAAAGAAGUGUUAAUCCUAUAGAUUAGAUUAAUCUGUACCAGUUUUAGAAAUAAGUUUUGGGGUUGGUAAGAUCGAAAAAAUCCUAUGGCUACAAUGCAUAACAAAAAAUCGGUGUGGAUUGAUAGAUAGGUACAGGUGCAGGUAUGGCUGUGUGGUUAAGAAGCUUGCUUCCCAACAAUGUGGUCUUGAGUCCAAUUUCGCUGUAGCAUCUUGGGUAGGUGUUUUUUACUAUAUUUCUAGGCCAACCAAAGGUGGGGUGGAAACUAAAAGAAACCUGUCAAACAUGUAUCCCUUUGUCUUCAUAUGUGAUGGUGGUAAAUGAGCAUCAGUCAUACAAGCAAUGCUGCCCGUUUCCGGUGUUUCAUGAAAGGUUUGUCUAACCAUGGGGAAAUAUCUUGAAAACAGGUGAGGGAUAGUAAUAAGGCAUUUGACUGCAAAAGAAAAAACUGCCUCAAAUUGUCUAACCUAUACAAACAUCUAAAAGUGAACAUUAAGCAUUUAUAUAAAAUCUCAACCUAUUUUCAAUGUGCAAGUUGUGGACGAUGUGAAUAAUUUGGGCUGUGUGGUCAGUAGUGAUGGCAGUCUAGAAAGUAAUGUGAACAGCAGAACUGGCAAAGCAGGGUUCAUACUCGAAUAUAUUCGCCAAAUAUGAGCAACAACAAACACCACUUCUGACAUGAUCUAAUUAUGUAAUAUGUAUGGAAAGUAUCAACAAAGGCUGACAAUGUAAACAGAAAGCCCUCAAAAAUCACCUCGUAAAAUUGAAUUAUGAAUAAGGAAAUCUCUCUGUGAAGCAAAUCCCAGCUUUUACAGAACACUGGGGUACUGCAUUAGCUUUUCCUAGCAGACUAUAUCUUGUACCUGUCAUCCACUUGGCAUACUAAAUCGUGGCAAUAAGAAAGUGGUUAUGUUCAAAAUAGGGUUGAUGGUUAAUACAAAAUGUUUCAGAAUUCAAAUAUCUUACAAAGUGCAUCAACAUAUUUCACUCCUGCUUGACAGGAUUAAGGGGGGGGGGGCAUAAUGGGUCAUUUGCUAGAUUUUCAUUAUUUUUCUCCCAACUUCAAACCAGGAAGUAUGAAUAGUAGCCAUUAUGAAUUGUAUCAUCCUUCCUGCUAAAAAAAAUUUGCACUCUUCCUGGUCACUUCUUUUCAAGCUCUUCAUUCUGAAUCACAGACUUCAGUCACUAAACCAACCAAUUUUCAAUUGUAAAAUGAAACUUGAAACUUUGCUGUGCUGCAAGAAGUACUGCAGAUUUGGAUUUAUGGUUGAAAAAGAGUCAGCUUGUUUCCUUUAAAUACAUCAAGUUUCCAGAAGCACAACUUUGUCCUGGUAUGAUUUACUGUAGUCUGUACCAUGAGUUGUUAACAUUAUAUUCUAUUGAUGAUAAUCAUUGUCAACAAUCAGUUGCUUCAGUGGAACCAAUUUCAGCCUACCCACCAAAAUAUACUCCACUCAGAAGAUUAUUUUUGUGGGGAGUAAUAUAUUUUGUUUGCUUUGUGCUAUGUCGUACUAAAUUUACCCAAGUAAAGCUAUAGUUGCAUGUGUUCCUUUACAUUCAGAAGUUUUAUCAAGUUGACUAACCAAUCUCUAGUUGUCAUUUUAAAAUCUUAACCAACAUAUAAAGUGUAUGCAAUUCUGCAACAAUAUUAAUGACGUGA
Molecule: long non-coding RNA, 2164 nt
Filed under: Octopus sinensis (East Asian common octopus)
Lineage: Eukaryota; Metazoa; Mollusca; Cephalopoda; Octopoda; Octopodidae
Description: uncharacterized LOC118766930
Source: RNAcentral